GAUGAACGCUGGCGGCGUGCCUAAUACAUGCAAGUCGAGCGAACAGAUGAGAAGCUUGCUUCUCUGAUGUUAGCGGCGGACGGGUGAGUAACACGUGGGUAACCUACCUAUAAGACUGGGAUAACGCCGGGAAACCGGGGCUAAUACCGGAUAAUAUUUUGAACCGCAUGGUUCAAUAGUGAAAGACGGUUUCGGCUGUCACUUAUAGAUGGACCCGCGCCGUAUUAGCUAGUUGGUAAGGUAACGGCUUACCAAGGCGACGAUACGUAGCCGACCUGAGAGGGUGAUCGGCCAAACUGGAACUGAGACACGGUCCAGACUCCUACGGGAGGCAGCAGUAGGGAAUCUUCCGCAAUGGGCGAAAGCCUGACGGAGCAACGCCGCGUGAGUGAUGAAGGUCUUCGGAUCGUAAAACUCUGUUGUUAGGGAAGAACAAAUUUGUUAGUAACUGAACAAGUCUUGACGGUACCUAACCAGAAAGCCACGGCUAACUACGUGCCAGCCGCCGCUGUAA
RNAcentral lists this ribosomal RNA (514 nucleotides) under uncultured bacterium. RNAcentral's name for it is "partial 16S ribosomal RNA". It matches the Rfam family "Bacterial small subunit ribosomal RNA", at positions 28 to 523 of the family's 1533-position model. The record is from RNAcentral.